This 72-nucleotide transfer RNA is filed under the name Odocoileus virginianus texanus. It matches the Rfam family "tRNA". From Rfam's summary of the family: Transfer RNA (tRNA) molecules are approximately 80 nucleotides in length. Their secondary structure includes four short double-helical elements and three loops (D, anti-codon, and T loops). Further hydrogen bonds mediate the characteristic L-shaped molecular structure. tRNAs have two regions of fundamental functional importance: the anti-codon, which is responsible for specific mRNA codon recognition, and the 3' end, to which the tRNAs corresponding amino acid is attached (by aminoacyl-tRNA synthetases). tRNAs cope with the degeneracy of the genetic code in two manners: having more than one tRNA (with a specific anti-codon) for a particular amino acid; and 'wobble' base-pairing, i.e. permitting non-standard base-pairing at the 3rd anti-codon position. RNAcentral also lists the same sequence under 9 other names. The record is from Rfam by way of RNAcentral. Lineage: Eukaryota; Metazoa; Chordata; Mammalia; Artiodactyla; Cervidae.
UCCUUGGUGGCUCAGAUGGUAAAGAAUCUGCCUGCAAUGCAGGAGACCCAGGUUCGAUCCCUGGGUUGGGAA